This 397-nucleotide ribosomal RNA is filed under the name uncultured bacterium. RNAcentral describes it as "partial 16S ribosomal RNA". It matches the Rfam family "Bacterial small subunit ribosomal RNA", at positions 523 to 918 of the family's 1533-position model. The record is from RNAcentral.
AUACGUAGGGGGCGAGCGUUGUCCGGAAUGAUUGGGCGUAAAGGGCGCGUAGGCGGCUUUGCAAGUCAGUAGUGGAAGUCCAUUUUUCAAGGAUGGAAGUGCUACAGAAACUGCGGAGCUUGAGUGCAGGAGAGGUUAUCGGAAUUCCCGGUGUAGCGGUGAAAUGCGUAGAGAUCGGGAGGAACACCAGUGGCGAAGGCGGGUAACUGGACUGCAACUGACGCUGAGGCGCGAAAGUGUGGGGAGCAAACAGGAUUAGAUACCCUGGUAGUCCACACUGUAAACGAUGAAUGCUAGGUGUAGGAGGUAUCGACCCCUUCUGUGCCGCAGUAAACACAGUAAGCAUUCCGCCUGGGGAGUACGGUCGCGAGAUUAAAACUCAAAUGAAUUGACGGGG